GUCAGGAUGGCUGAAAGGUCUGAGGCACUGUGCUCAGUUGUAGAUUCCUCUGGUAGGCAUGGGUUCAAAUCCCACUUCUGACA
This 83-nucleotide transfer RNA is filed under the name Ornithorhynchus anatinus (platypus). It matches the Rfam family "tRNA". Rfam says of the family: Transfer RNA (tRNA) molecules are approximately 80 nucleotides in length. Their secondary structure includes four short double-helical elements and three loops (D, anti-codon, and T loops). The record is from Rfam by way of RNAcentral. Lineage: Eukaryota; Metazoa; Chordata; Mammalia; Monotremata; Ornithorhynchidae.